UUGCUGACUUCAUGCUUGUGGGGAGAUGUUGAACUCUGACUCUGGUUUCUCGGCCCCAAGACCAUUUUUCUAAUGCCUGUUUAUCAUCAUCUAUCAACGUCGUCUGUCUCUUUUCUUCUGUAGCCACUGAUCAGAGCAUUUGGAUUGAUAAUGAAUUUGAAAGUAUCAACAAUGGAGGGAAACAGUUUCUGGAACAUACCAAAGCAAGUGUGCUGUUCAACCCAAUGAGUCUUGCAUAGAUAGACCCUUGAGUUUCGUUUUGUGAAAUUCAGAUCCCCUCUCUUCCAGUACCCUUUCAAGGAUCCUUUGUCUCUUUGGGGAGAGAUCAAAGAACAGGUAGAUUUCAUGGAGAAGGUCCACCAUAAUUCUGGUUAUGGGAAUUUUACAAGAUAAUGCAAUGCAAAGAUUCAAUAUGUGGCUGUUGUAAUGAGUAUAGAGUGCUGUUGGAACUAAAGCCUUGAUUCUGGCCCAAACCCUCAUCUGUUAUGAUGACAUUGCACUAGCUCCGUUAUAAACUUGCAACAUAGAUACAAUGGCAUUUGCAAUGGCUCUUCCUGUUGCAUGCUCCAAAUAAAUGAAAUCAAAGAUCUUGUUGAUUUCAGGUUUUGCCAGAUCCACAAAUCUCAGACAUAUCCAUAAAAUCUCUUUGUUGGCGUACUUGUCUGUAAACUCAUCUGUAAUAAUGAAUAUGCAGUGUUUUCAUUUCUUAGAGGCAAUGUCAGAGCAAAUUUAAUGUGAUCUCCAAUAAUCUGUAUGAUUUCAUUCUGCACUGUAUGUAGCAUUCUUCUUGGCAUUUAAAAGGUGCUCGUGAAGCAUACUAUCACCUUUAUCUAUCAGAUCUAACAACUUAUGAGAUUCCCUUUGUUUAUCGAUUUUGAAGCAUAAUUAUCUCUAUGAUGUUGCAAGGGGAUAUUUUGUUUACCACAAAAGAUUGUGUAAAUUUUUUCUCAUACAGAUCCCAUUUCAUCAUUGAACUCGUGUAGAGCAUUGUCUUUGUCAGAUUUUCUUGAGCCUGGCACAGUGUCACACCCACUUCAACAGCAUCCUUAUGGUACUGUAAUUGUUGAUGUUUCUCUAGUAUGCCACUGACAUUGCUCAAAUUUGUGAAUGGUUACACCAAAAGGAUUUCUGUUUUGUUGAUUUGAGAAUCCUUAGGUGGUAAAAUAAUAUUUACAAAAUCCACCUGAGAUUACAUUACUGUAUAAAAGCCACUUGUACUUGUCUAGCCAGGAUGCCUGAAAGGUUAACUUCUUUGACUUUGCCUCUUUUUCCUUGGUGACUAUUUGAGUGAAAAAGUUAUAAUUUGCAACUGGUGUAAAAUGUGCCUUGAAAUGCUGAACUUUUUGUAAUUAAAUAAUAGUCAACUUUUACACUAAUGUCGUUGAUAUCUCUGACAUCAUGCACUCCUUGACUCAUCAUAUCCUGCUCCCCAGAAGCAAUCUUCUCAGAGUUGCAUGUAGAUUGAUCCCAAAUUUGUGGUUCACAUGCUUUAAAUGAUGGUGCUGGUGAUGUAGCUUCCCACUAUUGGUGCCCAAAGUUGAAGUUGUUGUAAUGAGACAAAAUACUGAGUUUUAAGAUAUGUUCAAUUGAUGGAUUAAUAUACUUUGCUAAGGGCCACUCAUCAAGCAGGUUUGUUGCAUGUCUCUUGACUCUCUCAUCGAUUAGUUUUGCCAUUGCCUUAUGCAAUAGCUCAGACGGACUAGCAGGUUUAUAACAAAACAAGCACACAAGGCUUUUGGUAAUGUUCUGCUGUUGGGGGUGUUUACCAUGUGCUUGCUUUUUGGCAGAGUUGGAACUUUUCACAGCUAAGUGAAAUCUGGUUUUGCUAUACAGAAGCAUGUAGUGUGGAACUUUGCUGAAUGCUGUUGCAAUGUGGCUUUUAUGCUAUUUCCAUCAUUUAGCUUCAAAUGUGUGAAGCAUUUUGGGUAGGCAACCAGUGGUGCUAAAAGCAUUCAACUCCUCUACAAGACUGAUAUAUCCUACACCAACAUUACCAUGUUGUGAUACAGUUGGACAGCAAAGUUUCCCACUGUUGUCUUCUUGACAAAGGACACACUUUGACUAAUUUGUUUGUUUGACUGCAGAAGCUGGUUGUGUUUUCGGAUUAACAAGUUUCACUUUUGUUUCCCACACAUUUUAUGCUUAUUAGAAAGGAGGUUAUACAAUACAUGAAAUACAUAAUACAGUACACAAAACAGAAUACACAAUAUGUCAAGUUAGAUGGUAAUAGUAGGCCAUCAUCUUUAAAAAUGAUAGAUCAGUUGCCUGGCACACUCAGCAAUGCUUUUUCUGAACUCAAUGGCCCAAAAACCUGUGUAAACACCUAAAUGAGGGUUCUAGGCCUCUUAAUUUCCAAGAUGUGAUAUGAUGUAUUAUUCUGAGAAAGUUUGCCAUUUUAAAAAAUGGCCAGUAAGGCCACCACAGGUAAUAUCUGGGAUGGCACUGUAUCUAAAUUUACAUUCUUUGGCAUGAUGUACCUCUGACCCAAGUUUCUUGCUUUUACCACAAAGUGUAAAAUUUUUUCUUUAUCUGCUGUAUUUGAUUUAUCCAGCAGCUUCAGAGUAAUCUAAAUCUAAUAAAAAUGUUUGUCACUUAUACGUAGUGAUAAAUGUUAUCAAGGAUUGUAUUCAUAAGUUAUCAUUACUACUCUGGAACAGUUUUUUGAAAUUCUAAUUUUAAUUUGCACUGGUUAGAAACAGUAUACUUUUAAAAAUGAAUACUUUUUUUUUUAACCAGCAAUAAAUGGCUAACACUUAGUAAAGCAGAAAACAUGUUCAACAAUUUAGGAACUUAGUUAUUAUUAGUGUCAGUCAUUUAAAAUUUAAAUUUUCAUUAUUCUAAGAAAUAGGGUUUAUACUGGUGUUGAUAUAUUUAACAAAAGGUACCAUUGUAUUCAAUAUUAUAGGUUAUGGUUGACAUUUAUAUUGGCCAUGUAAAAAAAGGUUAACAGUGGAAUCUGUAACCUAGGAAAUACAUCACAUUUGUAGGUGUUUAAACAUGUAGUUUUAAAUAUAUAUAUUUUUUCAUACUUAUUUGUACUCAUUAGUAAUAUUUCUCUGUAUAAUUAUUAAAGAUUAUUCUGUUAUUUCUACAAGAUUGUUAUAGUUAAUCAAUUGGACUAUAGAUUAUCUCUCAUGCUGGUAAUUACUAGAAAUAUACUUUAUCUACAAAACUGUCAUAAAGUUAAUUUAAGCUUUUUUUUAUAGAACUAUUUUAUGUUUUAGUUUACACAUUUUGUAUGACACUAAUAGAUUUUAAGUUAGAGUACCAUUAACAGAGCAUUGUAAACAUUAGGUUAGCUGUAUAAUCCUGUUAUAAAUAUUAGUUUAGGUUUUUACUCAACAUUUAAGGAUUUAUGUAUGAGCACCCUACAAAACUUGUGGGUAUUAGCUAAUGAUUUGUUUAGAAAAUCACCAUAGGAUUAAGUUCUCAGAAUAAAACAAGUAUAUGAUCACUGUGUUGUUUAAACAUUUUUUUAUUAUUUCUGUUUUUGAUGAAUUUCUUCCAUCGCAGUUGUUUUACCAUACACCAAAUUUUGUUGAAAUAAAAGGAUUAUUAAAUUUG
This 3564-nucleotide long non-coding RNA is filed under the name Limulus polyphemus (Atlantic horseshoe crab). RNAcentral's name for it is "uncharacterized LOC111087543". The record is from RNAcentral. Lineage: Eukaryota; Metazoa; Arthropoda; Merostomata; Xiphosura; Limulidae.